This 306-nucleotide long non-coding RNA is filed under the name Manihot esculenta (cassava). RNAcentral's name for it is "long non-coding RNA (MESC_LNC002453)". The record is from RNAcentral. Lineage: Eukaryota; Viridiplantae; Streptophyta; Magnoliopsida; Malpighiales; Euphorbiaceae.
CGAGCUCAUAAUAAUGAAGUAAUAAGAGAAAAAUGAGGAUGUCCUUGCAAGAAUCAUAAGAACUUGCAGGUUGAGAGUCCAGUCCCAUGUUAACAACAGAGCUCAUGGGUAAGGAUAGUCCAGCCCGGAAAGAGUUUACAGAUAAGAAUGCCUUAGCAAAAUAGAUGAGUCUAUAAGCCAAAAGUUCAGUCAAUUAGUAGAAUUUUAGUUCUGAUGAGUUUGAAAGCAAAAAGAAGAAAACAAGCAAAAUAAAUAAAAAUGAAAUUUCAUUCAAAGAAAAAGAAGAGUUACAGUCUAAUCACCCAC